RNAcentral lists this ribosomal RNA (468 nucleotides) under uncultured bacterium. Its description in RNAcentral is "partial 16S ribosomal RNA". It matches the Rfam family "Bacterial small subunit ribosomal RNA", at positions 28 to 507 of the family's 1533-position model. The record is from RNAcentral.
GACGAACGCUGGCGGCGUGCUUAACUCAUGCAAGUCGAACGGAAAGGCCCUGCUUUUGUGGGGUGCUCGAGUGGCGAACGGGUGAGUAACACGUGAGUAACCUGCCCUUGACUUUGGGAUAACUUCAGGAAACUGGGGCUAAUACCGGAUAGGAGCUCCUGCUGCAUGGUGGGGGUUGGAAAGUUUCGGCGGUUGGGGAUGGACUCGCGGCUUAUCAGCUUGUUGGUGGGGUAGUGGCUUACCAAGGCUUUGACGGGUAGCCGGCCUGAGAGGGUGACCGGCCACAUUGCGACUGCGAUACGGCCCAGAAUCCUACGGGAGGCAGCAGUGGGGAAUAUUGCACAAUGGGCGGAAGCCUGAUGCAGCAACGCCGCGUGCGGGAUGACGGCCUUCGGGUUGUAAACCGCUUUCGCCUGUGCCGAAGCGUGAGUGACGGUAAUGGGUAAAGAAGCACCGGCUAACUACGUG